This is a non-coding RNA of Podarcis lilfordi (Lilford's wall lizard), 2828 nucleotides long. The record is from the annotation of a GenBank genome assembly. NCBI's taxonomy places the organism in Eukaryota, Metazoa, Chordata, Lepidosauria, Squamata, Lacertidae.
CGCGCCGGGGCGCAGCCGGGAGGCGAGCAGCCGCCAGCUCGGUCUCCCAGCCGCCGCGCGAGGGACGCUGCGUGUCUGCCCGGUCGCCUGGCCCUGCUCCGAAGUGGCGGGAAGGCGCCGCGGCUGGCGGAAGAGACGCUGCCUGUGGGGUUGCUGUGUUGUUGUUUUUUGGCGCGCGUUUUGGGAAGGCGCCGCUUCCGACGGGGAGACGGGAUAAAUAAAAGAAGGAGGCUGGUGUCCCCGGGUCGCCCUCGUGCCAGCCUCGCAGAGAAGGAAGGAAGGGACUCUUCGCAGGACGGCUUCAGGAGGAGCGGCAGGUAACAACACCCUCCACUUCUUGUGACCCCGAGGCACAUUUCGCUCUUCUUAUAACAGGGCAGUCCGAAGCACGGAAUACGAGAGAGUAAACCCCCCUGGGUUAAGAGGACGCCUACUUCUGAGUAAACGUGUUUAUAGGGUUGCACCGCACGCGUGUUGCAUGCAUCCUGACGGUGCCUUGCCUUUUCUGCACCCUCCCUCUCUUUCAACCCUUCACACACACACGCAUCUCAGCUGCAUACACAGCUGUCCCUCGUUAUUCAGCAGUCCCACAGAUGGCUUGUUUUAUAUUACAGAGCCAUAGCUACGCGGGUGGGGGGCUAGCUGUGUUUUAUGCCCCAUGUGAAGCUUCCAGAGGGGGCGCCAUUGAGGCUUCCAACCUCUGUUUGCGUGUGUGCACAAAUGUCAAACUGGCUCUUUGACCUGAGUGAAAUAAAGCCUAGUUUUGCCCCUGUUUAUUAUAUAUAUAUUAUCCCACCCUUCUUCUGGGGAGCUUAUUAUAUUUUACUUUCCCCACCUUGCUAUUUUAUCCUUCAUGUUGAGGUAUAUGGACUAUUUCUAAACAUUCAGAUGAUGCUCCUUGGGCAUACUAUACAGUGGUACCUCAGGUUAAGUACUUAAUUCGUUCCGGAGGUCCGUUCUUAACUUGAAACUGUUCUUAACCUGAAGCACCACUUUAGCUAAUGGGGCCUCCUGCUGCCACUGCGCCGCCGCUGCACGAUUUCUGUUCUCAUCCUGAAGCAAAGUUCUUAACCUGAAGCACUAUUUCUGGGUUAGCGGAGUCUGUAACCUGAAGCGUAUGUAACCUGAAGCGUAUGCAACCCAAGGUACCACUGUACGUCGAGUUCUCCCCACUCCACUUCCCAAUAUCCCUUGACCAUUCACACUAAUCACUACAGAAUUAUCAUUUUCCCCCUGGCUUAGAAUCUAAACAUUCAUCUUCCCUUUGGAAGCAAUCAUGCCUCAAGUGUGCAGUGUUUCUACACCAUGUCCGGAAUAUGAGGAGACACAGAAUCUGAAUGCCUGAUUCCGUUGAUUGAAAUAAUUUGACAGAUGAGCUUCUUGAGUUUAGCAGAUCACUUGGCGCAAGUAUUGUGUGGCCCCCAUCCUCGUAUUUGUUGCACCCAGCAACAAAAACACAAGCUGAUUCCCACAACACACAUUCUGCCAUUUGUUACAUGCAUACAGCUUGUUUCCCUUGACUCAUCAACUGAAUAUGAUUUGGGUGUUCUAUAACAUGCAUUUUAGUGAAUUUAGUAAUUUUCUUUGCUGCUGUUGUUUUUUUAAGUGUCGUCCAUUUUGCCCAACAGAGUUGGGUAAAAUGAAAUUUGUGCCCAUGGUAUUUGAAUCAUGAAUGUAAUGGUUAGAAGUAAUCACUGGACGUUGCAGCCUUUGAGUAAUGACAUGUGGGAACUCACCCAUACUGCCAGAGCAAGACGGAAUCAAAUGUCGUUGGGGCAGUAGCUGAAAUCAGCACUGGUAUGUCUGUUCUGAGGCAGUGGCAAGGAGGUCUUGCAGAAUUUUUGAAUUUAGGGGAUGCUGUUUUUAAGCACUACUUUUAUAAGCGUCUGAACAUUCCAUUUUCAUAUUCUCACAGCUCUCAUAUAUUAGAAUGUUAAGAUUUAUUGCUAUGCAAGCAUGUCAUAAAGAUUUGAUCCUAUCAGGUGAUCUGGAUAUAUUUCUGUGGUGUUGCUUUGAGUGAACUACUUUACAUAUCCUAAUAAGCAUCUCUUUCAUCUUUUCAGGGCUGAGUCUUCAAUCAAAUAUUUGUUUGCCUGGUUCAAGAUGUGAACUGUUCACCCAUCCACAAUGCUCACAGAUUACGAUUUAAUUCCAGCUCUAGCGUUUUCUUGGACAGGCUAGGUAUAUUCAGCUGCAAAUAUCUUGCAUUCAAAAAUGCCUUGUCUCAUAUCCAUCACUUCUUUCUAAAUCAUGUUUUCAAACUCACGUUGCCUAUGUCUUAUGUGUAGGGCUGAAUAUCAGGUCGCAUACCAUGAGCAAAGAGAUCAUGGUGGGGAGAUAGAAUUGCCUUGGUAAAACUAGCCUAAAAUAGUCAAGCCAUGCCAGAAAAUAAUGUGGGGUCCUAUUGAACUCACAUCUGCAUUCAAACAGUCAUGGAAUUAGCAUGUGUCCUAAACUUAAUUUAUUUUUGCCACAAAGUCUUCUACUGAACACGCUUCAAAUAGUAAUUUAAAGAUUAUCUACCUUAGGUAGGUGGCACAAACUGGCAUGGUUUCUAUUCGUAGGUGAUAUUUAGCCAGAAUAUAACCUCAGGCCAUUCAAAACAAAAACAGGAAUUACCCAGAAAUUCCUUUUUUCCUAAACUUACUGUUGCAUUUUUCAAUGCUUCGUAACAAUGUAUAAUCACCCCAUUGUUACCUGAAUUGCAGGGGAGCAAUUAUCCUCAUAUUUUUAGCAAUCUAUAAUGAAACAUUUAAUUGUAUCAGAAAAAGCUGGCUAUUCUACAGCAUGUAGCUGCAUUGUCAUAUUAAAGGCCUGAAACACUCAAU